CUGUUUGCAUGUUAGGCAAACACAGCCACAUGGAUGGGAGGCAAGUGCCAGGGAGCUGAACGAUGUUGGACUCUGAUGGAAACCAAUUGUUUAUUUUCACUUGAUGGCUCUCCAGCGACUUUGGAAAGUAUACAGAUCCUGGCAAAUGAAAAUGCUUUGUUUCCAAUUCCUUCCUUUUGGAUUCUUCAUCUCAAAUGAAAUGUCCCUGGCAUCCUCCAGCAAACCAUACAGGACAGAGAACAACUCUCUUUGGAUAAUCACGUCCUCAUAGGCAGCUAGGGGAUUCAGUUGGCUUUGGGAAAAGUAUAAGCUGGAGCCACAGGGAACCUAGGAUGUGUCUACAACAGGUCUUCUUCCAUAGAUAUCCCAGAUGGAUCAUUGCUAUUUCCUUGAUGCUGGAAGUACAAGGAGGGUGUUUCAGAAACUGGAGAAGAGAGGGAAGUUAGGGAAGCAAAGGAACGGCCAAUAUGCCUUUGGGCCUUGGGCAGAUGGCACUAUGGACUGGGAAUGCUUACAGGAUCAUCAAUUUGGAACCAGAAGGGACCGUUUGGAUGCUCACAAGAUGCCAGCACAGCAAUACUUUUACCACUAACAGGCUUGAGAAUAAGAAAGCUUUGAAAAUGAGAGAGUUGGUGCACAUCAUGGCAAGGUCUUUGAGAAAGGUAUGUUUAACUACUGAGUUUCCUUUCUCAUUGAAAGGGAAGUGUGAGUCUCCUUAUGGGCAUUUUGGCCUUGUCUGGGUGGUAAGUGUUCUGUCUUACAUCAGGUUGCAUGUCAAAGAGUGAUGAAUUUGCAUGGGGUGCUAUGUUCUGUUACCUUAGCAACUCUAUCUGCCUGAAUGUGUUUCAAGCAACAGUAGGAGUUAACAUGGGUCAGGAGAGAGAAUGCUGAGCCCAAGGUCAUGAGAUGUGAGCUCUUUCCUUGUAGCUAAUAUCUCAUUCCAGCUAUACAAAAUAUUACCUUCCUGAGCAUCAGUCUCUUCAUCUAUAAAACAGGAGUAGGACUUGUGCUUUCUUCUUGCAGAAUUGUUUUGAGGCCCAAAUGAAUGCUUUGAAACUUUUAAAGUGUAAAUAAAAGGAAACCAUUGCAUUUAAGAGUGAACA
RNAcentral lists this long non-coding RNA (1103 nucleotides) under Phascolarctos cinereus (koala). RNAcentral describes it as "lncRNA (ENSPCIG00000020293.2)". The record is from RNAcentral. Lineage: Eukaryota; Metazoa; Chordata; Mammalia; Diprotodontia; Phascolarctidae.